RNAcentral lists this ribosomal RNA (572 nucleotides) under uncultured archaeon. RNAcentral's name for it is "bacterial SSU rRNA". It matches the Rfam family "Archaeal small subunit ribosomal RNA", at positions 311 to 879 of the family's 1478-position model. The record is from RNAcentral.
CGCGAAUUCGCCCUUCGGGGUGCAGCAGGCGCGAAUACUUUACAAUGCUGGCAACAGCGAUUAGGGGACCUCUAGUGCCAGGAUACAAUCUUGGCUGUCGCGAUGCCUAAAAAGGAUUGCAUACCAAGGGCCGGGCAAUACCGGUGCCAACCGCCGCGGUAACACCGGCGGCUCGAGUGGUAACCGCUAUUAUUGGGUCUAAAGGGUCUGUACCGCGGCCGAGAUAAUUCUCUUUGGGAAAUCCAGCUGCUCAACAGUUGAGGCUUUCACAAGAUACUGUUCGGCUCGAGACCGGGAGAGGUGAGAGGUACUUCAGGGGUAGGGGUGAAAUCUUGUAAUCCUUGAAGGACCACCAGAGACAAAUGCGUCUCACCAUAACGGAUCUUACGACUAGGGACUAAAGCUAGGGGCACGAACCGGAUUAAAUACCCGGGUAGUCGUAACCGUAAACGAUACUCCCUAGGUGUCAACCACUGUGCAACCGUGGUUAGUGACCUACGGAAUCCGUAAAACUAGCCAUCUGGGAAUUACAGUCGCAUGGAUGAAACAUAUAUGAAUUGGGCGGCGACCAC